CAGACGUAUAUUGAUUUUCCGAACACACUUCAUAACGACAAACAUAUAGUUUGAAUUUAGCAUUUAAGAGUUUUUGAAUACUUAAUUUAAAUUAAGAUAAUGCAAUAACAAGGCAGCAGAAUCAAUAGGAAAACUGCAUUAAUAAACGUAACAAAAAUGAGCCAACGCCAAAGUUAACCUCAAAUAUUCGAACGCCGAACACAACAAUAAGAGCAUCAGGUAAAACACCAAAGAAUUCUCAACUGGAGCACGAGCAGACACGGAGAGUUGCCUUAAGAUUUGAGCUUUAAAAGGAAAGCCUGCGAUCACGUCAACAUGUCCACAGCAUCGUCUCAGCAACAGCAGCAGCAGCAGCCGGGGGCGAAGCUAAAGCAGAAGCAUCGCUCAGCCACGGAGGAGAGCAUGUCGCCCAAGAAAAUGGGCAUCAUUGCGAUUGUGACCGUGGUUGGCUGCAUUGCCAUAUUAUGGCCAAAAGUAUUCCAUCCCAUGAUGUUUGGCGGAGCGCCGCCCAAGCCAAGCUUUAAGGAUCAGCCCCAGCGCGGCGCACCUGGCGGUUGUUGUGAUGUCGUGCUUGACAGGGAGCAGUUCAUGAACGCCUCAAAGCCGGGCCUCGAGCCGUUCGGGCCUCAUUUGUAUCGCAAGCAGAUCAACUUGUACACGGGCGAAAUAAGUCUGCGUCAGGAACGGCCAGCCCACCUGCAUCCGGAGUCCAUAUAUCAGGCGAUGCGUGAGCGGGGCCGCGCAAUACCAGCCACGCCCACCGUUCCGAUAGUCGAGCGCAAGAGUUCGCCGAGUAACCCACCGCCCCGCAUCGUUGACGGCCGGCCUGGACCCAUACCUGGCAUGCGACCGCCAAUGGGAGCGGGUGCCUUUCAUCAGCCUCAGCAGCGAGCCGGCAGCAGCAUGGGCUUCCUGAUGCCGCUCUAUACCAUUGGCAUCGUGGUGUUCUUCGGCUAUACGAUUAUGAAGAUUGUAUUUAAGAAGCAAGUACCAAAUGCGCCGUAUGGGCCCGUUCCAGCGGAUCCAAGCUUCCGCCAAGAAGUUUUUGGCCAACAGAAUCACAGCCAGGUGGAGGAUUUGGGCGGCACCAAACUGGGUUGGCGCGAGCAUCAGACAAGAACUGCGACGAGCGCAGCGAACGGCAGGCGCAACGACAAGGAGCUCUACAAAGCCACCUUGUCGGCCACGGAAAUGGCCACCAAUUUGUCCAGCACGCUGAAGGCGCACCAGCAACAGUGCCACGGCCAGGCAAUAGCCCCUAAGACGCUGGCCGAGGUGGAGAAGUCGCUGUUCAAUAAGGAAACGGAGCAAUUAAUGGAAAUUGAAAAGUUGCGCAAGAAACUCGAGGACACGGAGCGAGAGAUGGCAAAAUUAAUUGCCGAAAUGAACACCGAUCAGUAUGAGGCAAAGAUGAUUGCUAUGAAGUUUCUCAAGCGGCAGCCAAAUUUCUAAUGCAACCAACAUUUAUUUACCGCAUAUAUAAUACCAAAUCACAGAAAUAGACCAAACUAAGUACAAGUCAUAACAUCACGACGACAACGAAAAAACGAAUUUGACAAAUGUAGAAAACCAGAACAUUUCCAAUGGGCAUACAACUAACGAUCAGGAGCAGAAU
Molecule: unclassified non-coding RNA, 1615 nt
Filed under: Drosophila virilis
Lineage: Eukaryota; Metazoa; Arthropoda; Insecta; Diptera; Drosophilidae
Description: GJ21994
Source: RNAcentral